CCGGUAGCUCAGGUGGUUAGAGCGCACGCCUGAUAAGCGUGAGGUCGGAGGUUCAAGUCCUCCUCGGCC
RNAcentral lists this transfer RNA (69 nucleotides) under Durinskia baltica. It matches the Rfam family "tRNA". From Rfam's summary of the family: Transfer RNA (tRNA) molecules are approximately 80 nucleotides in length. The record is from RNAcentral. RNAcentral also lists the same sequence under 2 other names. Lineage: Eukaryota; Dinophyceae; Peridiniales; Kryptoperidiniaceae.